Molecule: long non-coding RNA, 402 nt
Organism: Myiozetetes cayanensis
Lineage: Eukaryota; Metazoa; Chordata; Aves; Passeriformes; Tyrannidae
Exons: 4
Source: RefSeq, a predicted model, not a curated record
GGAGGGGCAGCCGGGGAGGCAGCGGAGCGAAGCAGCUUCCUCCUCGGCCCGCUCACGGCUCUGUGCUAGCACAGGCGCCGUCCCGCUCCCACCCACGUGUUUCGCGACCGCUUUUCCACGCACAGACAGGGGAUUUAGAAAAGGAAUACAUUUCUGUCCUAGAAGCAGCAUCUGAUGUCCUGCACCUGCCAGUGGGAACGUUGAAUCAAGAACAAGUUGCUGUAUCUUACCUGUUGGACUCAGCAGCUGUAACAGCAAUCAGAGGAGAGGGAAAAUUGGAUGAGCAGUUGGCAGAACUGGAAAAAAGAAGCUAAACAAAGAUGUGAAGAUCUGUCUCAUUUUUACUCAAGCAUGAAAGUGACUAUGUUCUUCAAGAACACAGAAGGAUACUUUUGCAAUAUA